UGGUGGAGUGAUUUGUCUGCUUAAUUGCGAUAACGAACGAGACCUUAACCUGCUAAAUAGCCAGGCAAGCUUUGCUUGUCGCCGGCUUCUUAGAGGGACUAUCGGCUCAAGCCGAUGGAAGUUUGAGGCAAUAACA
Molecule: ribosomal RNA, 136 nt
Filed under: uncultured eukaryote
Lineage: Eukaryota
Description: partial 18S ribosomal RNA
Rfam family: Eukaryotic small subunit ribosomal RNA
Source: RNAcentral